Passer domesticus (house sparrow) is the source of this 2499-nucleotide long non-coding RNA. RefSeq lists it as uncharacterized. The transcript is spliced from 4 exons. The record is from RefSeq and is a predicted model, not a curated record. NCBI's taxonomy places the organism in Eukaryota, Metazoa, Chordata, Aves, Passeriformes, Passeridae.
GAGGGUCUUUCCAGACUUUCAAGUUUUAACAUAUGUCACAGUCAGUGAAGCCCUACAGAUGCUAGAAUUAUACUAUGUUGAUAGUUACGCAAAUCUUCUUUAAGUCAAAUCAGAAAGAAAAUUUCUGUUUCAGAGAAGUUUCCCAGCUUAUGCAUGCUUGACUUCCACAUAACUUGAAUGGUUGCAUACUUGCAAGGAUUGUGCUCUAUUUGUACCUGCUCAUAAUGUGCUGAAAUAAUCCUUUUCUCCUGGACUUACCAGGAAUUCCACAAAGUCACCAGGAAACAUGUCCCAGCUCCAUCCUCAAAGGCUCUCUGCAACCAGACCCCUUGAUGAAUGAGGAAAAUUUAAACCCUGGGAUUCCUCUGUGCCAUGACACAAAAUACUGCUGGAUGAAGACACCCAGAGCCACCAGUGCUGACUCCAAAGCAAUUGGUCAGAGGAGAGCAUGGCACUCCCUUCCCUACUAUCAACACAAACCCUCUAAGAGCAACCUACAGCAGGGUCGCUGAGUGCAGAGAGCUGAAGAGCCUCUGAUAUCAACUCACCACAGAAACAGUCUACUGAUCUUCCUUACCAGAAUGGAAGGAGCACCAAACUCUUUUGUGUCAUGGAACAUAUAUGCUCAGAGUCUCCUAUACAUCGUCACAUGGAGAAUGAAUGUAUAUGGGGUAAAAAUAUUCCUACACACAGAGCUGGUUGCUAUCUAUUAGUUAUCACAACUUUAUAAAUCUCUUUGCACAAAAAACAGGUUUACCCCCCUCUUUUCCAAACUAGCUAGUUCCCCUUAAAAUAACUAACAUCAGCCUAUUAGAGAUCAGACGUAGCUGGGUUAGAUUACACUAUAAUUUAAGAAUAUAAUUUAAUGUGAACUUCUAAUUCCAAUGUGAAAGAUUAAAAUUCCACUGGAUAUUUAGAUGAAGAUAUUUUCAUCCAUCAGAAUACAUUCUUUACAGAAAUAAGAAACCAACCGCCAAAUUUACAGUUGCUAUUAGGAAUAUUGUGGUUUGGUCUGAAAUAAAACCCUUAAUUUCUGGAAAAGGAAAAGCAUAAACCAUCACUUCUCUCAUCCUACCUUCCCCAAAGGAGCAUCAGUCAGAGGAGUAAGUGAGGAACCAAAAUACCUGGCUGAAAGUGCAUCUGCAUGGUGGUGAAGCCAAAUCUGGAGGUCUCGUCAGGAUGCCUGAAGCACUACUUCUCAAAGGGGCAGGUGGCUGAGAAAGGUUCAUCUGAUAACCUCAAACCUCAAAAAAACAAAACAUCUUUGUUUGCUCAAAAUAGCUCCUCAGUUCCAAAACAUCCUGGAUCUUCUCUCAUGCCAAGGAAUUGAUAUCAAAUAUUCAAAUGCAGCACCUCUUGGGAGAGAAAGAGCAGAACCUCAGCCUCAAGUGCCUGAUGCAGUGAUGGGCAGGGCAGGAAGCAGGAAUCACACACAGGCACGUCGUCCUGCCACAGGGAAGGUUUUCACACAAACCCAUCAGCUGCACCAGGCAAACUGGUUGGGAUGGGUUGGGACUGUGGGACCAACAUGAGUGAAGCUGGAUCAUCCUCCUGGGUUCGGUUUUGAGCAACUGGUUUUGUGACACCUUGCUGGCCACAGGAGCCAGAGAAGGAGGACAGUGCUGCUCUCUUGCCAGAAGAAAGCCUUGUCUAAGUCUAGCCUCAGUGACAUCAUGAACUGACAUGUCUGGGACCAGGAGCCUCAUGCAAUAUUUUAAUCUUCUUUGUCUUCUUUGUCACUUACACAGAUGCUUAUGCAUCAUGGCAGGGGGAGGCAGGCAUGGUGUCCCAUGGUGUAUCUCUGUACUUCUCUACAAAGAGCAUGCCAUUCCCAACAUAUUUUCUCCUCAUUCUAGCAGACUUGCCUCUUCCCUUUCUCUUGCCAUUAUUGCCUGCAUGCCUGACUUGGAGACCCAGCACAAAAGUGCUGCAGAAAGGCUCAGGUGACACAGCAUGACACUGCAAUGGCUAAGCUAGAAAUCAAGGAGGUCACAGGCUCCUCCUUCCAUCAGCAUGGGUAUAACAGCACCACAUAAGGAAAAUCUGACCCAUUCAACCUAGAAAAUAUUCCCACAGAUGCAUGAAGAGACUGAAACCAAAAGGGCAGAUCAGGUGCUCCUCCAUUUUUCUGCUAUAGUCAGUCUUCCCCACAUCUCUAUUUAAAAGCAAUGAUUGAAACACAUUUCCAUCCUUGCUAUUUCUUCAUUAUAAUUGUUUCUAAAUGUCAUGUUUCUUUAAUUACCCCUUCCGAUAUAUGCAUGAGAAUGAUAGGAUAAAGAACAAUACAACAUUGCAAUUGAAUUACAAAAGCAAAAGCAUUGUACUAUUAACUUCAUAGCAUUGUUGUGUUAUAAAAUGCAAAGUAAAGAAAAAGGGGGAGUAAUUUGUUUAUAAAUAUGUUAGCUAGGUGGAGCAAAUGCCAUAUUGCCUGAUUGCAACUGAUUGCAAAGCAUGCCUUCUAGCAUGGAUUUCAUGGAGCAAAAUGUAGUUAAUAAAACU